CUUUAUGUAUGACUAAUUUUUUUAAAAUUUUUCAUAAAUUUUUUAAAUAAAACGAAUGGUCAAACGUUGUUGGAUACGGAUUUCCACGGCUGCGCUUCUCUUUUGAGACGGAGGUAGUAGCAUUUUGUUGAUGAGAGUUGCAGUGUCCUGCGGGUCAUACUGCACAAUACCAACUCUCCCCAGAAAAUUGUUACUACUGAUGCUCUUUAACUGGAAAGUCGAAACUUUUGUCCAGCAGCAUGGUGCUUGUUAUCCGUUGUAGUUGAAUGCUGAAGUGUAUGCAAUGAUGUAUCUUCAGACAUUUUCCCCCCAAAUUAAACUUGGUCGUGGACAGUGCUCUAGAAUUUGACUCCACUUCUUCUUCUUCUUCUUCUUCUUCUUCUUCUUUUUUGAAAAAGAUGGCAAAAACUGCAGUCGGAGUACAACAGCGUCCAAGCAGGUUGAGUAGACUGUUCCACAUGCAUCAAUGCAUUGCUUCUACAAUGUCUGGAUGGAACAAUAGGAGUAAUACUAAUUACAAUAAUCCGGGUAUACGGGGGAAUUAAUCAAUUAAUGAAAGGAACAUCUCUCGGAAAAAUGAGCCCCACUCCGAUGUUGUUUAUUGUACUUCCUCCGUUUCAUAAUGUAAGUCAUUCUAGAAUUUUUCAUAUUUAUAUAGAUGGUGGUGAAUCUAGGCAUUAUACGAAUGUGAGAAAUCCUAAAAUAACUUAAGUUCUAGAAUGACUUCGUAGUAGAAGCAAUGGUUGCGAUGGCAGCUGCUGCGAUGCCACUUCGCUCUUUGCCGAUCUGGUUGCCCGAGCUCCUUUCGCCUCGCUUUCUCGCAGACGAGAUCACCGCCGUCUAGCUCGCCCGCAACAAGGAGGCCGUCAUUGCUGGCCUACACGCCACCCUCGACCACCUCCUCGGCGUUGCCUCGUCCAAGUCGGUGACUCCAACCCCUCACCGUCAUGGCCAACGAUGUCGAGUUGGAGUAGCGGCUCCAUCAGUGGCCGGGUUGGAGGAGCAAAGAAGAGAGGAGAGGAAAGAAGACGGGAGCAAGUAGUAAGAAGAUAAAAAAGAAAAUGAAAAAGGUGACAACAGUGGCAUGAUUAUAAUUUUAUAAAAUUUUAGUGGUACAACUGCUAAUAGAUGAAUUAUGAUGACAUUUUUUUGAAUAGAUAAAUUUGUAAUGACAUGGAUUCAAUUAAAAAAAAAGAUUUUGGCGAUAGAGGUGACAGCAGAUUCAGAAUAGUUAAUUAUGAGACGGAGAGAGUAGUAAAAUGCCCCCGGCAGAUUCUCCCCUCACCGCCAUAACGAGGGCCAUCUUUUGUGGAAACGCUGCAGCGCUGCCUGUGGCCGCGCCGUCGUGUGCAGGUUUGGGCUCCUCGCCGGCCGUCGCACGCCGGUGCGCGGCGCGGAGGAGGCCUCUCCCUCCGACGGCUGCCGCACGCCGGUGAAGAACGGAGGCCAGCGCGAGCAAGGCCACAGCCCGCCGCCGGUUCCCUUGGGUGAGGCGUUUCGUCUUGCUGACUUCCUGAGGCAAUUACUGUGUUCUUCCAUCCGCCAUUCGCCCGCUAGGGUUUUUCCCCGCCUCCAUUUGGGGGCUUGGGUGUUAUUUCAAUGUUGUGUUUGAUUUGGAUGAAUAAAAUGAACCCCCCUAUGCCAUGUUUCUGUUGACCGUAGCCGUAGUGUCGAUUAGCACUUGAGCCAAAUAAUGAGAUCUUUAGUUUUAGCCAUUCAGCUUCAAAGUAAUGCACAUUUUUUUUUUUUUAGCAAUAGCUGCAGAUGUUGUUUGUGGUGUGAAUUGGUGAUAUCUGGUUCCUAUUUCCAGUCCUGCCAACAGGCCGGAACAAAAUUGUGUGCGAUGGUUUUCAUAUCUUGGGGUUAAAAUUAAAGAAGAAGAGGGAAGCCCCUCCAUUUCCAUUAAUAGAGGGUAAAAAGGAAAUGCCACCCAAGUUGUUUAAGAGUACAUUUUAUUCCUUGUUCGAGUGCCAAGUACUAGUAAGUCUUAUGUGGAUGUGUCGCUUUUUGCAUUGGAGAAAAGGAUGCUUCACUGCUGUAGUACACUUCCUGUAAUAGGAUGCCAGGGUCUCUUCUCUCCAAAAUGGAAAAGAUUUAUUUAGCCAUUGCCGCAGCUGUGGUUACUAGCGUUCUCUGUACUGUGAUUAGCAAUAUCUAGUUUCUAUAUCCAGUCCUACCAACAGGGCGGAACAUGAUUGCGUUUUUGAGGUUUUCUUUUUCGGGUAGAAGAGAAAUGCCCCACAAAAUUUGUUUCUUUUCCUCGCACUUCAAUCUUAUUUUGUUUCCUGCUUACAAGAACAAAUUUUUGAUUGCAAAUUACUAACGUGCUGUAUCCAAUUUUGCUUGUGUGGAUCUAUUUCUCCAUUCUGUGGAUAUGGCAGUUGGCACCCUCGCACACCAACUACUCGAUUGAAUGCCCCUGAUAAAGUAAGCUCUUCCAGAGAGAGAGAGAUAUGUCCCAGUCUAGCAGGCGAACGAGUGUCUGUGACAGGAUCAGUGCUCUGCCUGACGAACUUUUGCACCAUGUCAUGACAUUCCUAACAGCGAAGGAGGCUGUGCAGACUUGUGUGCUAUCUCGGAGGUGGCAGAACGUCUGGGCAUCUGUGGGAUACCUCAAUGUUGACUCGUGCAACUUCAUUACAGUGAAACAUUUUAAGAAGUUUGUUGACAAUUUGCUCCUGCAGCGCAGCUGUGCCCUGUUGGAUAUGUUCUGUAUCCAUACCUCCUAUGACAGCUCUGAUGAUUCCCUUGAUUAUUCUGACAUCCAUCCAUGGGUCUGCCAUGCCCUUAGGUGCAACGUUAAAACUCUCGGCAUACUCAAUUAUUGUGAUGGCAAGCUCCUUUCUGUAGAUGGAUAUCCUGUCCCCUUCACUUUCUUGCACUUGAAGAGUGUAUACCUUUGCAAAUUUUCUAUUGAUAACCGUUUUGUCGAGAAACUCUUUUCUGGUUGCCCGGAGCUACUGCAUCUGGAGUUGAGACAUUGUGCCAUCAAGGCCACCAUGUUUUGCUCUGCUACAUUGAAGAUUCUGACCAUUACAGCUGCAGAUAGAACUCAAGAUGACCCAGAAGGUUUUCAGCAUCUUGUGAUAAAUAUGCCAAACCUUAUCUGCCUGCAUGUAGAGGAGAUUGCAAACAGAAAUCUUCGGCUCCUAGACAUAUCAUCAGUGGAAUCAGCUUCAGUUUACCCUUAAUAGGUUCUCUUUUGGACAUUCUGAUGUUGACUGCACUAUUCUCAGUGCUCUUUCAAACGCUGCAAGAUUGCACUUGAUGUCUUCAUCUAUCUACGAAGAUGUGGUCCAAAAGGUAUUACUACGUGAUCUUCCAAGGUGUGGGAUAUUCAGCAAUCUAACGAGUUUGGCACUUGGUGAGUUGUUUUUUAGUGAUGGCUGCUAUCCACUACUGUACUUGCUUCGGCACUCACCUAACAUAGAGAAACUUUCCCUGCAUCUUGUCAAGCAUGGAGCUUAUGCCUAUGAUCACGACACCAAUUCUGCAAAUGCUACUGCAGAUUUAGAUCCCACAUGCGAAGGAACAGGGACAGCAGUUAACUGUGAAAAGCUUAGGAAAAUCAAAAUCAUUUGCCCACAAGGCGAUAGAAGAGUCCACAUCAUUGUGAAGAUCUUAUUUUCCAUUAUUAAUCCUCUCCCUCAAAUCAAAAUCCAUCCCCAAAAUGGCUGAGAAUGUUGAGCAUCUUAAUUUCAGCAUUUGCACACUCAAGUCUGUUGAAUUGGAAUUCCAUGACUCAUAUUUCAAUGUUUUCUUUUACAACCUAGGCCACCAGUUACGUUAUUGAAGAUGUUGAUGGUUAUGAUCCUAAAUCUGUUUUGUAAGUGAUGUGGAUUUUGAUGACUAGGGUGGUCAUCUUAAGGUGGAUCAGAUUUUCUUAUUCUUGGGCAAGUUGUUAUUUCUCCUUUUGAUGACUCUAUUUGGGCAAGUUGUUCAAGUAAAAUGAUUUUUAGUUGUUACUCAGUUGAGAUAUUAUUUGGUGA
This is a non-coding RNA of Oryza sativa Japonica Group (Japanese rice), 3989 nucleotides long. The record is from RefSeq and is a predicted model, not a curated record. Lineage: Eukaryota; Viridiplantae; Streptophyta; Magnoliopsida; Poales; Poaceae.